GUGUUGUGUGAAAGAAAAGAAGGUUAGCACUCCCUCUGACUAGGAUGGAAGAGGCCCUUGGGCCUGACAACACACAUAUGGUUAAGACAUUGCCCCCUACUUCGUGGCAUUUAACCUUCAUAAUAA
Pteropus vampyrus (large flying fox) is the source of this 126-nucleotide small nuclear RNA. Lineage: Eukaryota; Metazoa; Chordata; Mammalia; Chiroptera; Pteropodidae. The record is from Ensembl.